UACAGAGGGUGCGAGCGUUGUCCGGAAUCACUGGGCGUAAAGGGCGCGUAGGUGGCGGCCCAAGUCCGUGGUGAAAGCUCGCCGCUUAACGGCGAGUCGGCCACGGAGACUGGGUGGCUCGAGCACUGUAGGGGCAGAUGGAAUUCCGGGUGUAGCGGUGGAAUGCGUAGAGAUCCGGAAGAACACCAGUGGCGAAGGCGGUCUGCUGGGCCGAUACUGACGCUGAGGAGCGAAAGCAUGGGUAGCGAACAGG
RNAcentral lists this ribosomal RNA (253 nucleotides) under uncultured bacterium. RNAcentral describes it as "partial 16S ribosomal RNA". It matches the Rfam family "Bacterial small subunit ribosomal RNA", at positions 524 to 776 of the family's 1533-position model. The record is from RNAcentral.